UUAAGUUAUUAAGGGCGCACGGUGGAUGCCUUGGCACUAGAAGCCGAUGAAGGACGUUACUAACGACGAUAUGCUUUGGGGAGCUGUAAGUAAGCUUUGAUCCAGAGAUUUCCGAAUGGGGAAACCCAGCAUGAGUUAUGUCAUGUUAUCGAUAUGUGAAUACAUAGCAUAUCAGAAGGCACACCCGGAGAACUGAAACAUCUUAGUACCCGGAGGAAGAGAAAGAAAAUUCGAUUCCCUUAGUAGCGGCGAGCGAAACGGGAAGAGCCCAAACCAACAAGCUUGCUUGUUGGGGUUGUAGGACACUCUAUACGGAGUUACAAAGGACGACAUUAGACGAAUCAUCUGGAAAGAUGAAUCAAAGAAGGUAAUAAUCCUGUAGUCGAAAAUGUUGUCUCUCUUGAGUGGAUCCUGAGUACGACGGAGCACGUGAAAUUCCGUCGGAAUCUGGGAGGACCAUCUCCUAAGGCUAAAUACUCUCUAGUGACCGAUAGUGAACCAGUACCGUGAGGGAAAGGUGAAAAGCACCCCGGAAGGGGAGUGAAAUAGAACCUGAAACCGUGUGCUUACAAGUAGUCAGAGCCCGUUAAUGGGUGAUGGCGUGCCUUUUGUAGAAUGAACCGGCGAGUUACGAUUUGAUGCAAGGUUAAGCAGUAAAUGUGGAGCCGUAGCGAAAGCGAGUCUGAAUAGGGCGUUUAGUAUUUGGUCGUAGACCCGAAACCAGGUGAUCUACCCUUGGUCAGGUUGAAGUUCAGGUAACACUGAAUGGAGGACCGAACCGACUUACGUUGAAAAGUGAGCGGAUGAACUGAGGGUAGCGGAGAAAUUCCAAUCGAACCUGGAGAUAGCUGGUUCUCUCCGAAAUAGCUUUAGGGCUAGCCUCAAGUGAUGAUUAUUGGAGGUAGAGCACUGUUUGGACGAGGGGCCCCUCUCGGGUUACCGAAUUCAGACAAACUCCGAAUGCCAAUUAAUUUAACUUGGGAGUCAGAACAUGGGUGAUAAGGUCCGUGUUCGAAAGGGAAACAGCCCAGACCACCAGCUAAGGUCCCAAAAUAUAUGUUAAGUGGAAAAGGAUGUGGCGUUGCCCAGACAACUAGGAUGUUGGCUUAGAAGCAGCCAUCAUUUAAAGAGUGCGUAAUAGCUCACUAGUCGAGUGACACUGCGCCGAAAAUGUACCGGGGCUAAACAUAUUACCGAAGCUGUGGAUUGUCCUUUGGACAAUGGUAGGAGAGCGUUCUAAGGGCGUUGAAGCAUGAUCGUAAGGACAUGUGGAGCGCUUAGAAGUGAGAAUGCCGGUGUGAGUAGCGAAAGACGGGUGAGAAUCCCGUCCACCGAUUGACUAAGGUUUCCAGAGGAAGGCUCGUCCGCUCUGGGUUAGUCGGGUCCUAAGCUGAGGCCGACAGGCGUAGGCGAUGGAUAACAGGUUGAUAUUCCUGUACCACCUAUAAUCGUUUUAAUCGAUGGGGGGACGCAGUAGGAUAGGCGAAGCGUGCGAUUGGAUUGCACGUCUAAGCAGUAAGGCUGAGUAUUAGGCAAAUCCGGUACUCGUUAAGGCUGAGCUGUGAUGGGGAGAAGACAUUGUGUCUUCGAGUCGUUGAUUUCACACUGCCGAGAAAAGCCUCUAGAUAGAAAAUAGGUGCCCGUACCGCAAACCGACACAGGUAGUCAAGAUGAGAAUUCUAAGGUGAGCGAGCGAACUCUCGUUAAGGAACUCGGCAAAAUGACCCCGUAACUUCGGGAGAAGGGGUGCUCUUUAGGGUUAACGCCCAGAAGAGCCGCAGUGAAUAGGCCCAAGCGACUGUUUAUCAAAAACACAGGUCUCUGCUAAACCGUAAGGUGAUGUAUAGGGGCUGACGCCUGCCCGGUGCUGGAAGGUUAAGAGGAGUGGUUAGCUUCUGCGAAGCUACGAAUCGAAGCCCCAGUAAACGGCGGCCGUAACUAUAACGGUCCUAAGGUAGCGAAAUUCCUUGUCGGGUAAGUUCCGACCCGCACGAAAGGCGUAACGAUUUGGGCACUGUCUCAACGAGAGACUCGGUGAAAUCAUAGUACCUGUGAAGAUGCAGGUUACCCGCGACAGGACGGAAAGACCCCGUGGAGCUUUACUGUAGCCUGAUAUUGAAAUUCGGCACAGCUUGUACAGGAUAGGUAGGAGCCUUUGAAACGUGAGCGCUAGCUUACGUGGAGGCGCUGGUGGGAUACUACCCUAGCUGUGUUGGCUUUCUAACCCGCACCACUUAUCGUGGUGGGAGACAGUGUCAGGCGGGCAGUUUGACUGGGGCGGUCGCCUCCUAAAAGGUAACGGAGGCGCUCAAAGGUUCCCUCAGAAUGGUUGGAAAUCAUUCAUAGAGUGUAAAGGCAUAAGGGAGCUUGACUGCGAGACCUACAAGUCGAGCAGGGUCGAAAGACGGACUUAGUGAUCCGGUGGUUCCGCAUGGAAGGGCCAUCGCUCAACGGAUAAAAGCUACCCCGGGGAUAACAGGCUUAUCUCCCCCAAGAGUUCACAUCGACGGGGAGGUUUGGCACCUCGAUGUCGGCUCAUCGCAUCCUGGGGCUGUAGUCGGUCCCAAGGGUUGGGCUGUUCGCCCAUUAAAGCGGUACGCGAGCUGGGUUCAGAACGUCGUGAGACAGUUCGGUCCCUAUCCGUCGUGGGCGUAGGAAAUUUGAGAGGAGCUGUCCUUAGUGCGAGAGGACCGGGAUGGACAUACCUCUGGUGUACCAGUUGUCGUGCCAACGGCAUAGCUGGGUAGCUAUGUGUGGACGGGAUAAGUGCUGAAAGCAUCUAAGCAUGAAGCCCCCCUCAAGAUGAGAUUUCCCAACUUCGGUUAUAAGAUCCCUCAAAGAUGAUGAGGUUAAUAGGUUCGAGGUGGAAGCAUGGUGACAUGUGGAGCUGACGAAUACUAAUCGAUCGAAGACUUAAUCAA
Molecule: ribosomal RNA, 2921 nt
Filed under: Staphylococcus aureus UCIM6077
Lineage: Bacteria; Bacillati; Bacillota; Bacilli; Caryophanales; Staphylococcaceae
Description: bacterial LSU rRNA
Rfam family: Bacterial large subunit ribosomal RNA
Source: RNAcentral